GAACAUGGAACCUUGUAGAAGGAAGAUCGGCUUUCGUAAAAAAUCUAAAACAAAAUGCUCAUCUUGUUAAAUGGUCACCCAAUGGAGAAUCAUAUGUGGUGGUUACAGCAAAUAAAGUGGAUAUAUACCAACUUGCAACUGCUUCUGUCUCUGGCACCAUCGUUACAGAAAGGAGAGUGUCUUCAGUAAGAUUUAUUACAGAUUGCAUACUUGCCAUUGCUGGAGAUGAAGAAUUUGUACGGUUCUUUGACUGUGAAUCACAGGAAUGUCUUUGUGAAUUUAAAG
Molecule: long non-coding RNA, 285 nt
Organism: Gekko japonicus
Lineage: Eukaryota; Metazoa; Chordata; Lepidosauria; Squamata; Gekkonidae
Exons: 3
Source: RefSeq, a predicted model, not a curated record